This 524-nucleotide ribosomal RNA is filed under the name uncultured Chloroflexota bacterium. RNAcentral describes it as "bacterial SSU rRNA". It matches the Rfam family "Bacterial small subunit ribosomal RNA", at positions 357 to 896 of the family's 1533-position model. Lineage: Bacteria; Bacillati; Chloroflexota. The record is from RNAcentral.
AGGAAUAUUGAGCAAUGGGCGCAAGCCUGACUCAGCAACGCCGCGUGGAUGAUGACGGCCUUCGGGUUGUAAAAUCCUUUUCUGGGGAAAGAUAAUGACGGUACCCCAGGAAUAAGUUCCGGCUAACUACGUGCCAGCAGCCGCGGUAAAACGUAGGGGACAAGCGUUAUCCGGAUUUACUGGGCGUAAAGCGCAUGUAGGUGGCUUGACAAGUUGGACGUGAAAGCUCCCGGCUUAACUGGGAGAGGUCGUUCAAAACUGGCAGGCUAGAGGUUGGAAGAGGAGAGCGGAAUUCCCGGUGUAGUGGUGGAAUGCGUAGAUAUCGGGAGGAACACCAGUGGCGAAAGCGGCUCUCUGGUUCAAUACUGACACUGAGAUGCGAAAGCGUGGGGAGCGAACGGGAUUAGAUACCCCGGUAGUCCACGCUGUAUACGAUGGAGACUAGGUGUAGGCGGUCAUUAACCCCGUCUGUGCCGAAGCCAACGCGUUAAGUCUCCCGCCUGGGGACUACGGCCGCAAGGUUA